UACUCCUACGGGAGGCAGCAGUGGGGAAUAUUGGACAAUGGGCGAAAGCCUGAUCCAGCCAUGCCGCGUGUGUGAAGAAGGUCUUCGGAUUGUAAAGCACUUUAAGUUGGGAGGAAGGGCAGUAAGUUAAUACCUUGCUGUUUUGACGUUACCAACAGAAUAAGCACCGGCUAACUUCGUGCCAGCAGCCGCGGUAAUACGAAGGGUGCAAGCGUUAAUCGGAAUUACUGGGCGUAAAGCGCGCGUAGGUGGUUCAGCAAGUUGGAUGUGAAAUCCCCGGGCUCAACCUGGGAACUGCAUCCAAAACUACUGAGCUAGAGUACGGUAGAGGGUGGUGGAAUUUCCUGUGUAGCGGUGAAAUGCGUAGAUAUAGGAAGGAACACCAGUGGCGAAGGCGACCACCUGGACUGAUACUGACACUGAGGUGCGAAAGCGUGGGGAGCAAACAGGAUUGGAUACCCUGGUAGUCCACGCCGUAAACGAUGUCGACUAGCCGUUGGGAUCCUUGAGAUCUUAGUGGCGCAGCUAACGCGAUAAGUCGACCGCCUGGGGAGUACGGCCGCAAGGUUAAAACUCAAAUGAAUUGACGGA
This 591-nucleotide ribosomal RNA is filed under the name uncultured bacterium. Its description in RNAcentral is "bacterial SSU rRNA". It matches the Rfam family "Bacterial small subunit ribosomal RNA", at positions 334 to 917 of the family's 1533-position model. The record is from RNAcentral.